Molecule: ribosomal RNA, 253 nt
Filed under: uncultured bacterium
Lineage: Bacteria
Description: partial 16S ribosomal RNA
Rfam family: Bacterial small subunit ribosomal RNA
Source: RNAcentral
UACAUGUGGGGCAAGCGUUGUUCGGAAUUACUGGGCAUAAAGGGUGCGUAGGUGGUUUGUUAAGUCAGGGGUGAAAUCCCGCGGCCCAACCGUGGAACUGCCUUUGAUACUGGCGAACUUGAGUGCGUGAGGGGUAGGGGGAACGAGCAGUGUAGCGGUGAAAUGCGUAGAUAUCUGGAGGAACACCGGUGGCGAAGGCGGCAUCCUGGACCGGCAUUGACGCUGAGGCGCGAAAGCCAGGGGAGCAAACGGG